CUGACGGAGCACGCCGCGUGAGUGAUGAAGGUUUUCGGAUCGUAAAGCUCUGUUGUUAGGGAAGAACAAGUGCCGUUCGAAUAGGGCGGCACCUUGACGGUACCUAACCAGAAAGCCCCGGCUAACUACGUGCCAGCAGCCGCGGUAAUACGUAGGGGGCAAGCGUUGUCCGGAAUUAUUGGGCGUAAAGCGCGCGCAGGCGGUCCUUUAAGUCUGAUGUGAAAGCCCACGGCUCAACCGUGGAGGGUCAUUGGAAACUGGAGGACUUGAGUACAGAAGAGGAGAGUGGAAUUCCACGUGUAGCGGUGAAAUGCGUAGAGAUGUGGAGGAACACCAGUGGCGAAGGCGACUCUCUGGUCUGUAACUGACGCUGAGGCGCGAAAGCGUGGGGAGCGAACAGGAUUAGAUACCCUGGUAGUCCACGCCGUAAACGAUGAGUGCUAGGUGUUAGGGGGUUUCCGCCCCUUAGUGCUGAAGUUAACGCAUUAAGCACUCCGCCUGGGGAGUACGGCCGCAAGGCUGAAACUCAAAAGAAUUGACGGGGGCCCGCACAAGCGGUGGAGCAUGUGGUUUAAUUCGACGCAACGCGAAGAACCUUACCAGGUCUUGACAUCCUCUGCAAUCGGUAGAGAUACCGAGUUCCCUUCGGGGACAGAGUGACAGGUGGUGCAUGGUUGUCGUCAGCUCGUGUCGUGAGAUGUUGGGUUAAGUCCCGCAACGAGCGCAACCCUUGAUCUUAGUUGCCAGCAUUUAGUUGGGCACUCUAAGGUGACUGCCGGUGACAAACCGGAGGAAGGUGGGGAUGACGUCAAAUCAUCAUGCCCCUUAUGACCUGGGCUACACACGUGCUACAAUGGAUGGAACAAAGGGAAGCAAAACCGCGAGGUCAAGCAAAUCCCAUAAAACCAUUCUCAGUUCGGAUUGCAGCUGCAACUCGCCUGCAUGA
This 946-nucleotide ribosomal RNA is filed under the name Virgibacillus halodenitrificans. Its description in RNAcentral is "bacterial SSU rRNA". It matches the Rfam family "Bacterial small subunit ribosomal RNA", at positions 383 to 1323 of the family's 1533-position model. Lineage: Bacteria; Bacillati; Bacillota; Bacilli; Caryophanales; Bacillaceae. The record is from RNAcentral.